CCUACGGUGCGCAGCAGUAGGGAAUAUUGCUCAAUGGGGGAACCCCUGAAGCAGCAACGCCGCGUGGAGGAUGAAGGUUUUCGUAUUGUAAACUCCUUUUGUUAGAGAAGAUAAUGACGGUAUCUAACGAAUAAGCACCGGCUAACUCCGUGCCAGCAGCCGCGGUAAUACGGAGGGUGCAAGCGUUACCCGGAAUCACUGGGCGUAAAGAUCGCGUAGGCGGGAUAGCAAGUCAGAUGUGAAAUCCUAUGGCUUAACCAUAGAACUGCAUUUGAAACUGUUAUUCUAGAGUAUGGGAGAGGUAGGUGGAAUUCUUGGUGUAGGGGUAAAAUCCGUAGAGAUCAAGAGGAAUACUCAUUGCGAAGGCGACCUGCUAGAACAUAACUGACGCUGAUGCGCGAAAGCGUGGGGAGCAAACAGGAUUAGAUACCCGAGUAGUC
RNAcentral lists this ribosomal RNA (440 nucleotides) under uncultured bacterium. RNAcentral describes it as "partial 16S ribosomal RNA". It matches the Rfam family "Bacterial small subunit ribosomal RNA", at positions 338 to 795 of the family's 1533-position model. The record is from RNAcentral.